RNAcentral lists this ribosomal RNA (374 nucleotides) under uncultured organism. RNAcentral's name for it is "partial 16S ribosomal RNA". It matches the Rfam family "Bacterial small subunit ribosomal RNA", at positions 527 to 896 of the family's 1533-position model. The record is from RNAcentral.
GUAGGUGGCAAGCGUUGUCCGGAAUUAUUGGGCGUAAAGCGCGCGCAGGCGGUUCUUUAAGUCUGAUGUGAAAGCCCACGGCUCAACCGUGGAGGGUCAUUGGAAACUGGAGAACUUGAGUACAGAAGAGGAAAGCGGAAUUCCACGUGUAGCGGUGAAAUGCGUAGAGAUGUGGAGGAACACCAGUGGCGAAGGCGGCUUUCUGGUCUGUAACUGACGCUGAGGCGCGAAAGCGUGGGGAGCAAACAGGAUUAGAUACCCUGGUAGUCCACGCCGUAAACGAUGAGUGCUAAGUGUUAGGGGGGUUUUCCGCCCCCCUUAGUGCUGCAGCUAACGCAUCAAGCACUCCGCCUGGGAGUACGGCCGCAAGGCUG